This 579-nucleotide ribosomal RNA is filed under the name uncultured Bacillus sp. RNAcentral's name for it is "bacterial SSU rRNA". It matches the Rfam family "Bacterial small subunit ribosomal RNA", at positions 102 to 665 of the family's 1533-position model. Lineage: Bacteria; Bacillati; Bacillota; Bacilli; Caryophanales; Bacillaceae. The record is from RNAcentral.
ACGGGUGAGUAACACGUGGGCAACCUACCUUAUCGACUGGGAUAACUCCGGGAAACCGGGGCUAAUACCGGAUAACAUCUAGCACCUCCUGGUGCCGGAUUAAAAGAGGGCUUCUUGCUCUCACGAUGAGAUGGGCCCGCGGCGCAUUAGCUAGUUGGAGAGGUAAUGGCUCCCCAAGGCGACGAUGCGUAGCCGACCUGAGAGGGUGAUCGGCCACACUGGGACUGAGACACGGCCCAGACUCCUACGGGAGGCAGCAGUAGGGAAUCUUCCGCAAUGGACGAAAGUCUGACGGAGCAACGCCGCGUGAGUGAUGAAGGGUUUCGGCUCGUAAAGCUCUGUUAUGAGGGAAGAACACGUACCGUUCGAAUAGGGCGGUACCUUGACGGUACCUCAUCAGAAAGCCACGGCUAACUACGUGCCAGCAGCCGCGGUAAUACGUAGGUGGCAAGCGUUGUCCGGAAUUAUUGGGCGUAAAGCGCGCGCAGGCGGCCUUUUAAGUCUGAUGUGAAAUCUUGCGGCUCAACCGCAAGCGGCCAUUGGAAACUGGGAGGCUUGAGUACAGAAGAGGAGAGUGGA